CCUACGGGUGGCAGCAGUGAGGAAUAUUGGUCAAUGGGCGGAAGCCUGAACCAGCCAAGUAGCGUGCAGGAUGACGGCCCUACGGGUUGUAAACUGCUUUUAUACGGGAAUAACGCGCCUUACGUGUAGGGCUUUGUAUGUACCGUAUGAAUAAGGACCGGCUAAUUCCGUGCCAGCAGCCGCGGUAAUACGGAAGGUCCGGGCGUUAUCCGGAUUUAUUGGGUUUAAAGGGAGCGUAGGCCGCAUGUCAAGCGUGCUGUGAAAUGUCCGGGCUCAACCCGGGCCUUGCAGCGCGAACUGGCCUGCUUGAGUCCGCUGAAGGCAGGCGGAAUUCGUGGUGUAGCGGUGAAAUGCUUAGAUAUGACGAAGAACCCCGAUUGCGAAGGCAGCUUGCUGCAGCGGAACUGACGCUGAUGCUCGAAAGCGCGGGUAUCGAACAGGAUUAGAUACCCGAGUAGUC
RNAcentral lists this ribosomal RNA (460 nucleotides) under uncultured bacterium. Its description in RNAcentral is "partial 16S ribosomal RNA". It matches the Rfam family "Bacterial small subunit ribosomal RNA", at positions 338 to 795 of the family's 1533-position model. The record is from RNAcentral.